UGUGAGACUCUGAGCGCCUCUCGCGCAUCAGCAAAGGGUGUACCUGUACAGAGAGAGCACAAGAUGUGUGUCCAUCAAAGAGAGGGAACAAGAAACUGUAAUGCAGACACUGCUCCACUUCAAGAUACUAAAAUUCUCCACUGUCACGCUACAGCUGUAUCACAUCGGACACAUGAACAUACACGCGCAUAAAUGCGCAUCUCCACUGCAAAAAUCUAGUUAGACCAGCCAAGCAGAAGAUGCUUCACAUCACAGCAUCAGGAUCCUGUUGUUUGUCAAGCAUCCAAGCCCGUUUCCCAGUGUUUCCCGGUGUGUUGGGUUUCUGCUUGUUUAUUGGACUUCUUUUGGAUUUCUGGAAUUUGGAUUUUUGCCUGUGUCUACUGGUUUUGUUUGCCCAGUGUUUGGACUGUCCUCCUGUGUUUUGAUUCUUGCCUGCCUCUACAACACGUAAGCAUGUUCACUUUUUGUGUUAUUAUGAAUAAACACCAUAAACUGAA
Micropterus salmoides (largemouth bass) is the source of this 497-nucleotide long non-coding RNA. RefSeq lists it as uncharacterized. The record is from RefSeq and is a predicted model, not a curated record. NCBI's taxonomy places the organism in Eukaryota, Metazoa, Chordata, Actinopteri, Centrarchiformes, Centrarchidae. The transcript has 3 exons.